RNAcentral lists this ribosomal RNA (254 nucleotides) under uncultured bacterium. Its description in RNAcentral is "partial 16S ribosomal RNA". It matches the Rfam family "Bacterial small subunit ribosomal RNA", at positions 524 to 776 of the family's 1533-position model. The record is from RNAcentral.
UACAGAGGUCUCAAGCGUUGUCCGGAUUUAUUGGGCGUAAAGAGCUCGUAGGCGGUUCGGUAAGUCGGGUGUGAAACCUCCAGGCUCAACCUGGAGACGCCACCCGAUACUGCUGUGACUCGAGUCCGGUAGGGGAGCGUGGAAUUCCUGGUGUAGCGGUGAAAUGCGCAGAUAUCAGGAGGAACACCAGCGGCGAAGGCGGCGCUCUGGGCCGGUACUGACGCUGAGGAGCGAAAGCGUGGGUAGCAAACAGG